GACGAACGCUGGCGGCGUGCUUAACACAUGCAAGUCGAACGGAAAGGCCUGCUUUCCCUUGUGGAUUGCGGGUACUCGAGUGGCGAACGGGUGAGUAACACGUGAGUGAUCUGCCCCCAACUUGGGUAUAAGCCUGGGAAACUGGGUCUAAUUCCCGAUAGGACUGCAGGGUGGUGCCUGUGGUGGAAAACGAUUUUCUAGUGGUUGGGGAUGAGCUCGCGGCCUAUCAGCUUGUUGGUGGGGUAAUGGCCUACCAAGGCGGCGACGGGUAGCCGGCCUGAGAGGGUGGACGGCCACAUUGGGACUGGGAUACGGCCCAGACUCCUACGGGAGGCAGCAGUGGGGAAUAUGGCACAAUGGGCGGAAGCCUGAUGCAGCGACGCCGCGUGGGGGAUGACGGCCUUCGGGUUGUAAACUCCUUUCGACCGCGAGGAAGCCACCUGGUUGGAAGGGUGGUGACGGUAGUGGUAGAAGAAGCACCGGCUAACUACGUG
This 494-nucleotide ribosomal RNA is filed under the name uncultured bacterium. RNAcentral describes it as "partial 16S ribosomal RNA". It matches the Rfam family "Bacterial small subunit ribosomal RNA", at positions 28 to 507 of the family's 1533-position model. The record is from RNAcentral.